UACAGAGGUGGCAAGCGUUGUUCGGAAUUACUGGGCGUAAAGGGCGAGUAGGUGGCCAUCUAAGUCAGACGUGAAAUCCCCCGGCUUAACCUGGGAACUGCGUCUGAUACUGGACGGCUUGAGUAUGGGAGAGGAACGUAGAAUUCCAGGUGUAGCGGUGAAAUUCGUAGAUAUUGGGAAGAACACCGGUGGCGAAGGCGGCGAGCUGGUCCAUUACUGACGCUGAGGCGCGACAGCGUGGGGAGCAAACAGG
Molecule: ribosomal RNA, 253 nt
Filed under: uncultured bacterium
Lineage: Bacteria
Description: partial 16S ribosomal RNA
Rfam family: Bacterial small subunit ribosomal RNA
Source: RNAcentral